This 292-nucleotide ribosomal RNA is filed under the name uncultured bacterium. Its description in RNAcentral is "partial 16S ribosomal RNA". It matches the Rfam family "Bacterial small subunit ribosomal RNA", at positions 505 to 796 of the family's 1533-position model. The record is from RNAcentral.
GUGUCAGCAGCCGCGGUAAUACGGAGGUUGCGAGCGUUGUUCGGAAUGACUGGGCGUAAAGGGAGCGCAGGCGGCUCGUUAGGUCCGGAGUGAAAGCCCGGGGCUCAACCCCGGCGGGUCUUCGGAUACCGGCGAGCUCGAGUACGGAAGAGGAGGGUGGAAUUCCAGGUGUAGCGGUGAAAUGCGUAGAUAUCUGGAGGAACACCGGUGGCGAAAGCGGCCCUCUGGUCCGAUACUGACGCUGAGGCUCGAAAGCGUGGGGAGCAAACGGGAUUAGAAACCCCCGUAGUCC